RNAcentral lists this ribosomal RNA (253 nucleotides) under uncultured bacterium. RNAcentral describes it as "partial 16S ribosomal RNA". It matches the Rfam family "Bacterial small subunit ribosomal RNA", at positions 524 to 776 of the family's 1533-position model. The record is from RNAcentral.
UACGUAGGGUGCAAGCGUUAAUCGGAAUUACUGGGCGUAAAGCGUGCGCAGGCGGUGAUGUAAGACAGAUGUGAAAUCCCCGAGCUCAACCUGGGAACUGCAUUUGUGACUGCAUCGCUGGAGUACGGCAGAGGGGGAUGGAAUUCCGCGUGUAGCAGUGAAAUGCGUAGAUAUGCGGAGGAACACCGAUGGCGAAGGCAAUCCCCUGGGCCUGUACUGACGCUCAUGCACGAAAGCGUGGGGAGCAAACAGG